CAGUACGAUGUACACAUUUUUGAGUGCCUAUAUUUAUCUAUUCAACUGUGCACGCAGUGCACGCAGAAUGGUGUUUUGCUGCCUUCGGUGGCUGGCAAAACAUUCAAGACGCUCAGCGGCUCGGGGUUUUCGUUCGCGGACGGCCACACUGGUGCGCACGCACGCGACUGAACGGACGACGACGGUGAGAAUACAUCCCACACACCAACCUGGCUUGGGCGCCGAUGUAGCAUCUCUCACGCCACGUCGUCGUCGUCACACGUUCGUUCGGUCAUCCGGCGUCGUCGCGGUACCGCGUCCACAGAACAGAACAACCCAACACACGAGCAGCGAACGACAAGCGAUAAGAUAAACCCCCCAUGUAGGCCUCAAAUAAUGUGUGACUACCCCCUAAAUUUA
RNAcentral lists this unclassified non-coding RNA (399 nucleotides) under Culex pipiens (northern house mosquito). RNAcentral's name for it is "partial contains 5.8S rRNA, ITS2 and 28S rRNA". The record is from RNAcentral. Lineage: Eukaryota; Metazoa; Arthropoda; Insecta; Diptera; Culicidae.